This 233-nucleotide ribosomal RNA is filed under the name uncultured bacterium. RNAcentral's name for it is "partial 16S ribosomal RNA". It matches the Rfam family "Bacterial small subunit ribosomal RNA", at positions 923 to 1163 of the family's 1533-position model. The record is from RNAcentral.
GCACAAGCAGUGGAGUAUGUGGAUUAAUUCGAAGCAACGCGAAGAACCUUACCAGGUCUUGACAUCCGAUGCAUAGCGCAGAGAUGCGUGAAGUCCUUCGGGACAUCGAGACAGGUGGUGCAUGGUUGUCGUCAGCUCGUGUCGUGAGAUGUUGGGUUAAGUCCCGCAACGAGCGCAACCCUUAUGGUCAGUUACUACGCAAGAGGACUCUGGCCAGACUGCCGUUGACAAAA